AAACAAAGAACAGAAAAUCAAAAUAUAUACCAAGGAGAUUGCUAAUAGGUUUCAUACUUAUCACAGCAUAUUGUUGAAACUUAUUUGAAAUACUGGAGGACCCAGUCAAUAAACUGAUUGAGUACCUGAUUUAUAAACAGCUCUGGCCAAAGUGCUCAGAAAAAAAAAAAGAAAGAAA
Long non-coding RNA from Sapajus apella (tufted capuchin), 178 nucleotides. RefSeq lists it as uncharacterized. The record is from RefSeq and is a predicted model, not a curated record. The transcript is spliced from 2 exons. NCBI's taxonomy places the organism in Eukaryota, Metazoa, Chordata, Mammalia, Primates, Cebidae.